UGAUGAGUGCAUGUGCAUUUUUGAAAGUCGUAAAAAGGUAUGAUUUUUAUAAUGCCAUCUAAUUUAAUUCACUCAAAUUCCAAACAAUUUUGAACAAAGAUUGACUUCAGUAAAUAUCCAGGAUUAAGAAGUUACUUUAAAAAAUAAAGAAAACAAAACUAUGAAUUGGUAUCUGCUUGUUAUUAUUGCAUUGGAGGUACCUUUUUCAUUAAAUUAUUGCUUUUUCUUAUUGUAGAUAAUGAGGAUUUUGUCCCUUGUCUAUUAAGGGCUUGAACAGAAAAGACAGAAGAAAAUAUAAAAGUCAAGGCAUCCUGACUCAUGUAGUCAUUAUGGACACACAGUAAAAUAAAAUCAUUUUGAUAAGAUAUCUUGGAAAAGAAGAAAAGUUACUCCAAGCAUGAAUCUUGCAGUAUGUCUUGCAGUUAUCUUCUCAUGCAAAGAACAGCAAAAUAUACAAAGAAAGAACAUAUAUUUUCGUUGUCAUCUGGCCAGCUAGAUGUUGCUUUGCUGUUUCAUCCAUUGUUUUAUACUUCCGGCGUCAUGGCAUGUCCCAAAGCAAUUUUGAUUUCAACUUUAAUUGUCCCCGCGUUGCAAAAAGAGUUUUAUUUCUCACUGUCUGUUGAGAUCUGCUUGGCACCAAGUUUAAUAAUAGUGAUUCUAGACUCUCUACCACAGGAUUUACAAAGUGUCAUUCCGGAACUGCUGGCCAGUGAAAGCUGGAUCCAGAUUUCAGGAAUUUCUCUGUUGGAACUCUCCACUCUGAACAAAUAGCUGCAUUCAAGCUGCGAAGCAGAGAAGGCCAUCAAAGCUUUUCCAAUCUCUAUUGUAAAGCAUGCUACGUAAUUUGUGGGCUCGGUGCAAAGGGAAAAGGUGGGGCUUCUUGUUGAACAUUUAUCAAGAAUUUCAAGAUGGUGACGGCAGAACAUUAAAACAGGCACAGGCUCCUCUAAGCUCAGGGCCUUAUGUGAUGGCUCAUGUCACAUGUUCACCAAGACUAGGAUCUUAUAUUUUCAUGAAGGAAGACUCAUCUCAGCGGAUUUAAAGCCACUGCAUUGCCUGUUUAUGUGUGUGGCAACCCGGGAAAACAAUGUUCCAGUGUCAUUACCAACCCCUACACUGAUUCCUUUUACUUUCUAGCCUAUUAAACAUUUUACCUUAAAAAAAUAAUAACAAGCAACUGCCAUAACUAAGCAGGGAUGUCUGCAGCGUUCUACCACUAAUGCUGAUAUUGGAUUCUAAUUUAACAUGGUUUUAUUAUUUUUAAUUCUAAGUUGUUGGGUUUUUUUUAAGUCUUUCUUUUCCACAAAUGCGC
RNAcentral lists this long non-coding RNA (1312 nucleotides) under Felis catus (domestic cat). RNAcentral describes it as "lncRNA (ENSFCAG00000041081.2)". The record is from RNAcentral. Lineage: Eukaryota; Metazoa; Chordata; Mammalia; Carnivora; Felidae.